Molecule: ribosomal RNA, 468 nt
Filed under: uncultured bacterium
Lineage: Bacteria
Description: partial 16S ribosomal RNA
Rfam family: Bacterial small subunit ribosomal RNA
Source: RNAcentral
GACGAACGCUGGCGGCGUGCUUAACACAUGCAAGUCGAACGGAAAGGCCCUGCUUUUGUGGGGUGCUCGAUUGGCGAACGGGUGAGUAACACGUGAGUAACCUGCCCUUGACUUCGGGAUAACUUCAGGAAACUGGGGCUAAUACCGGAUAUGAGCUCCUGCUGCAUGGUGGGGGUUGGAAAGUUUCGGCGGUUGGGGAUGGACUCGCGGGUUAUCAGCUUGUUGGUGGGGUAGUGGCUUACCAAGGCUUUGACGGGUAGCCGGCCUGAGAGGGUGACCGGCCACAUUGGGACUGAGAUACGGACCAGACUCCUACGGGCGGCAGCAGUGGGGAAUAUUGCACAAUGGGCGGAAGCCUGAUGCAGCAACGCCGCGUGCGGGAUGACGGCCUUCGGGUUGUAAACCGCUUUCGCCUGUGACGAAGCGUGAGUGACGGUAAUGGGUAAAGAAGCACCGGCUAACUACGUG